RNAcentral lists this long non-coding RNA (292 nucleotides) under Bos grunniens (domestic yak). Its description in RNAcentral is "lncRNA (ENSBGRG00000017937.1)". The record is from RNAcentral. Lineage: Eukaryota; Metazoa; Chordata; Mammalia; Artiodactyla; Bovidae.
AUCAGAUUUACAGAUGGGGAGACUGGGCUGGGAUUUGAAGCCAGCCAAGUGAAGACUAAGGCAGCAUUCAGUCUGGCCAGAAGAAACAGAUGUCUCAGAAAGCAAAGAGGGUCUUGAUUUAUCUACGUCCUCCUGUUCCCCCAUGAAGCUCAAGUGUUCCAAGGGAUGCACACCCUCCUUCAACUCUGAAUGGUCCACAGAAAACCCAGUGUUGAGUGAUCAGUAAGUGGUCUACGGAUAGGCCUUGGAAAUCACUGUGAAUGCUGGAGAAGACUCCUUUUCAUUGACUGAG